This 291-nucleotide ribosomal RNA is filed under the name uncultured Ascomycota. RNAcentral describes it as "partial 18S ribosomal RNA". It matches the Rfam family "Eukaryotic small subunit ribosomal RNA", at positions 548 to 845 of the family's 1831-position model. The record is from RNAcentral. Lineage: Eukaryota; Fungi; Ascomycota.
UUGGAGGGCAAGUCUGGUGCCAGCAGCCGCGGUAAUUCCAGCUCCAAUAGCGUAUAUUAAAGUUGUUGUGGUUAAAAAGCUCGUAGUUGAACCUUGGGCCUGGCUGGCCGGUCCGCCUCACCGCGUGUACUGGUCCGGCCGGGUCUUUCCCUCUGUGGAACCCCAUGCCCUUCACUGGGUGUGGCGGGGAAACAGGACUUUUACUUUGAAAAAAUUAGAGUGUUUAAAGCAGGCUAACGUCUGAAUACAUUAGCAUGGAAUAAUGAAAUAGGACGGCUUGGUUCUAUUUCG